CACUCAUUCAAAGAGUGCGUAAUAGCUCACUGGUCGAGUGACUUUGCGCCGAAAAUUCAACGGGGCUAAAACCUGCACCGAAGCUUAGGCAGCGUCUUUGACGCUGGGUAGGGGAGCGUUGUAUACGAGGUGAAGCAUUAGCGCAAGCGGGUGUGGAUUGUAUACAAGUGAGAAUGCCGGAAUGAGUAGCGAGAAUGAUGUGAGAAUCAUCAUGGCCGAAAGCCUAAGGUUUUUGGAGGAAGGUUCGUCCGCUCCAAGUUAGCCGGGAGCUAAGGUAAGGCCGAAAGGCGUAGCCGAUGCACAUACGGUAGAGAUUCCGUAGCCACCGAAAGAGUUAAGCAUGGGGACACUUUUGAAGUGUUGGAGCCGGGAGUUGGUUCCGGUAGUGAUCGAGUGAAAUUAGUAGCGAAGUCCAGCAUGGAAGAUGGCGAGAAAAGCCAUGUGUAUUUCUAAGGUGCCCGUACCGCAAACCGACACAGGUAGGUAGGAAGAAGAUUCUAAGGCCAACGGGAGAAGGGUUGUUAAGGAACUCGGCAAGUUGACCCCGUAACUUCGGAAUAAGGGGUGCUCAGAGAUGGAGCCGCAGAGAAUCGGCCCAAGCAACUGUUUAGCAAAAACACAGGUCUGUGCUAAAUCGAAAGAUGACGUAUACGGGCUGACGCCUGCCCGGUGCUGGAAGGUUAAGAGGAGAUGUGCAAGCAUUGAAUCGAAGCCCCAGUAAACGGCGGCCGUAACUAUAACGGUCCUAAGGUAGCGAAAUUCCUUGUCAGGUAAGUUCUGACCCGCACGAAAGGCGUAAUGAUUUGGGCACUGUCUCAACAGCCCGCCCGGCGAAAUUGUAGUACCGGUGAAGAUGCCGGUUACCCGCGACAAGACGGAAAGACCCCAUGGAGCUUUACUGUAGCCUAAUAUUGGGUUUCGAUAUUGCAUGUACAGGAUAGGUGGGAGACUGGGAAACAGAGGCGUUAGCCUUUGCGGAGUCACCCUUGGGAUACCACCCUUGCGAUAUUGGAAUUCUAACCUGCGGCCGUGAAUCCGGCCGGGGGACAUUGUUAGGUGGGCAGUUUGACUGGGGCGGUCGCCUCCUAAAGCGUAGCGGAGGCGUUCAAAGGUUGGCUCAGCUUGGACGGAAACCAAGCCAAUGAGUGCAAACGCAUAAGCCAGCCUAACUGCGAGACCGACGGGUCGAGCAGUAACG
This 1198-nucleotide ribosomal RNA is filed under the name human gut metagenome. RNAcentral's name for it is "bacterial LSU rRNA". It matches the Rfam family "Bacterial large subunit ribosomal RNA", at positions 1116 to 2401 of the family's 2925-position model. The record is from RNAcentral.